This is a long non-coding RNA of Photinus pyralis (common eastern firefly), 414 nucleotides long. RefSeq lists it as uncharacterized. The transcript has 2 exons. The record is from RefSeq and is a predicted model, not a curated record. Lineage: Eukaryota; Metazoa; Arthropoda; Insecta; Coleoptera; Lampyridae.
UUUUUGGUGUGUUCCGUGCGGUGGGAUUGUUUACGACACACGAAAUGUCAGCAGAUAACAACAUCUAAAUAAAGUUGAUGAGUUUUGUGCUUAUCCGCUUACAGUUUAGGACUUCCAAAGUACGAUGUGGUGUAAAAGUAGAACGCGCUAUUUUCACUUUUUCGUUAUAUAAAGUUUAAUGUAAUUGUUUCACUUCAGCAUCUGUUGUGAUGCUUUAUUAUACUCUUUUCCAAUAGAAAACUCUUUACCAGUGAAUAUUAAUCGUAUUGUUUGGAUUUUAAACACGAAUGUACAAGUGCUAUUUUCUCAACGCUCGGGUCUUUAAUGAAAAUGCAAGGAGACGAUCCUCCUUACUUAUCUGUGGGCACCGCAGUUAGUGCGAAAUAUAAAGGAGCAUUCUGCGAAGCCAAAGUU